GGUCGGUCCGGUGAUAGAGUCGCUGAUGUGCACAGAGCUGCUCAAAGCGAUAUUAAAAAUAAGAGAUCCGUGAAUGUGAAAGUCAUUUCAUUUGUUUACCCGUCGGGAGUGUUUCACAGCAGAAGUGUGACUUACAGCGCGAUAUUUCGAUGUGACUGAUGCCAUUCUGUCUGCUAAAGGCUAUAGAGACGAUGCAAGGAUCGAAACAAAUGAACGAUUUUAACAGGUUUGACUUGUAAAAACAAUAUACGGUCUCAUAGAGUGAAAAACGAUACACGUUACGCUGUUUUGAUAAAGUCUGUGUAAAAUAUCCGCUGUGCUUGCUGCAGAUAUCCGCUUAGCAUUAGCAUUAGCCGCAGAUGUGCAGUCAGUGCUCACGUGACUCUAUCUUCAUAAACACAGUGAUGCUCAAACACUCACCCCGCAGCACAUAGAUCCACGCGAUAUACACAAACACACACACACCUGACAGCCGAUAUCAUGGCCAACGUGACGGAUCUGCAGAGUAAAUACAGUAAACUGGCCCAGGAGUACUCAAAGCUCAGAGCUCAGAAUCAGGUGCUGAAGAAGGCCGUGGUGGACGAGCAGACCGCCUCCUGCUCCCUGAAGGAUGAGCUGAAGCAGAAGGAGCAG
Long non-coding RNA from Sinocyclocheilus rhinocerous, 633 nucleotides. RefSeq lists it as uncharacterized. NCBI's taxonomy places the organism in Eukaryota, Metazoa, Chordata, Actinopteri, Cypriniformes, Cyprinidae. The transcript has 3 exons. The record is from RefSeq and is a predicted model, not a curated record.